CAAAGAAUAGUUUAUUAAAAUAUUAAUUUUGGAGAUUAAUGAUAAGGAUUAUUCCUUUUCUCUGA
This 65-nucleotide transfer RNA is filed under the name Byctiscus populi. RNAcentral describes it as "tRNA-Pro". The record is from RNAcentral. Lineage: Eukaryota; Metazoa; Arthropoda; Insecta; Coleoptera; Attelabidae.